Molecule: non-coding RNA, 2028 nt
Organism: Nothobranchius furzeri (turquoise killifish)
Lineage: Eukaryota; Metazoa; Chordata; Actinopteri; Cyprinodontiformes; Nothobranchiidae
Source: RefSeq, a predicted model, not a curated record
UAAAUGAGUGUCUAAUAGUGUUUUAAAUGUGUGCAUUCUUUAUUUUAGCAUUUUGGUGCAUUUUCUUUAAAAAUUAAAAAUUCUGUCUAAAAACCACAGUAAUGCGCCACCUUCAGCUGAAAACAUAGAAUUUUUGUCAUUUUGAAUAAAUUUUAGCCAAUGGCUAAAGAGUAAAGUACUAAGUAAACCAGUAGAGUACUACGUAGCAGCUCCGUGCCAAAGUUAUAAAAGCAACGAGCGUCUCGGCCACGCCCUGUGGCGAGUGGGAGUUGGAUUUGCAAGCGAGCAUAGGAGGUCAGCGGUAGUUCAGCAUUAGCAUAUAGCAUUAGCAUAUCCUAGUCUUAGCAUAUCUUUUAGUGUUAUAAAUACUUAUUUAGUGUUAGAUUUGGCUGUUGGAUAUUGUAGUUGAGUUAGUGUUUGGCUUUUAGUGUAAUUGGGAAAGUAUUUCUGGUUUAGUGUUCCAUAUCGUCUUAGUAUUGGUGAGUAGGUGUAGUGUAGUAUGCUUGCGGUGACUCUGUGGGCAUUUUACCCGCGAUUCUGCGCGCCUCCGUUUGAAGAGGGAGGCUGCCCACCGUGGCUCUUCCGCGAUUUAGAUGCAGCCCACCGACUCUGCUCCCCCACCACGGCGGGCUCCAGUCUGAGGUGAGUCAGCUAAAUAAACGUUUUAACAUCUUCUAAAGACAAUUCCCUACCUAAAUGCAAAGUCUGAGAGACGUGGUUCACUUCCUUUAGCUAGUCAGUCGGCAAUUCUGCAACAGUGUCUCUAACUAACGCUGCACUAGUUGACAGACAGCAUUACAGCGUGAAAUCCAGCUUGUGAACAGGUUCUGUAAGGAAUUCUGUUCAGGAGGUCGCAUUUCAGGCUCUCCACAUCAUAUGUGAUGGACUUUUACGUUAUAACAACGAUCACACACUAGGAAUGUUAUAAAGCGCCUAUAUAGGAGAUUCUUUUAUAUAUUAUCUGACUUUAUAAACUCCAACAACAAUGUGCUUCUAUUUUUUUUUUCAGGCUAAAUCUACCCAAGACACUGGCUGUCAGACUGAUUUAGCUGCAUGAAUGUACUUGUCCAGGCUGAUGUGAAACCUUCCCUGUAGCAAAGCCAGCCAGAAUGGAGUUCACAGCCGCAGUGUGUCUGGUGACCCACAGGGACCAUGAUGAAAAUUCAUCUUCCAGAAGGUCCCAGAGCGUCCAGACCCCCUGAAAAGACCAAGAUGUGAGGUGUCUGCUGUUGAUUCCAGCUUCCACCUCAGUGACAGUGCAAGCUCAGUGAACUGUUCAAGCCUGGCUGAUCACCUGAUAGCUCCUGUCAUCUGGUUAUGACAGCAUGAGGAUGUCCUCACACACCUGUAACCUAUCAGCUCAUCCUGCUGAAUAGAGAGAGAAGAGACCACACCACAUCUCCUGUUCCUGGAAAGCCUUCAGCCAUCCUUCGAUGACUGAGAACCUCCAUCAGCUCUGUCUCCUGUCUGCCUACAAUUAUAAUAAAUAUUGUGUUUGACAAGUUUUUUGUGCUGCCAAAUAUCUCAUUUAGAUUCGUUUUGAUAUUUUAAUGGAUAUUUAUAAAUUACAUUGAAUAUCACAUUUUUGUUGCAUGUUUAACUAGCUCUAUUGUGAUUAAUUAAGCUAGCACCUCACUGUUAAAAGCUCGUUCUAAUUUCAAGCAUGUUUAAGUAUUUAUGGACAUGAACAAAAACAGGAAAUAUAUAAAUUGAGAUUUAUUUAAUUAAUAUAACAAAUAAGGGGGAAAGAGUCAUUGAAAGGCACGUUCUUCUGAAAGUUCCUGAUCCUGAUGACACCAGCAGAGGAGACCAGCUGCAGACACCAGAGACCAGCUGCAGACACCAGAGGACCUAGAACCAAGAGAGCAGCUGUUAUCAGUAAAUAAAUAAAGAAAUCAGGGCAGUUUUAGUGGGCUGAACACAUUACAGAAUAAUUUUCUCAUGGGGUAUUUUCAUAACUUUAUAUGCAGCAGACUGUAACUUGAGCCCAGAGCUACCGGAGAGCUGCUAUCCAGCACGUUUCAGUGG